AUGGAGAACAAGGGGGCAGCAGCGGCGCCGGAGAAGGAGGCGCAAGCGCAAGCGCCGGCGUCGUCGACGUGCUUCAAGUGGACUGUGGGGGAGGGCGCGACGCUCAUGGAGCGGGCCAAGGACCAGUACAAGCAGUUCACGGAGGCGCAGGCGAGCGAGCACUGGGAGUGCAUCAAGAACAAGGUCAGCUCCAUAUUCGCCGAGCCCAUCCCCUUCUUCGGCGGGGGCGCCAAGGACCACGGCUCCAGCAGCAGCAACAGCACGCCGCCGCCCGUCGAGUCGCAGUAG
RNAcentral lists this ribosomal RNA (288 nucleotides) under Triticum aestivum (bread wheat). Its description in RNAcentral is "partial small subunit ribosomal RNA". Lineage: Eukaryota; Viridiplantae; Streptophyta; Magnoliopsida; Poales; Poaceae. The record is from RNAcentral.